AUUGAACGCUGGCGGCAGGCCUAACACAUGCAAGUCGAAUGGUAACAGGAAACAGCCUGCUGUUUCGCUGACGAGUGGCGGACGGGUGAGUAAUGUCUGGGAAACUGCCUGAUGGAGGGGGAUAACUACUGGAAACGGUAGCUAAUACCGCAUAACGUCGCAAGACCAAAGAGGGGGACCUUCGGGCCUCUUGCCAUCAGAUGUGCCCAGAUGGGAUUAGCUAGUAGGUGGGGUAACGGCUCACCUAGGCGACGAUCCCUAGCUGGUCUGAGAGGAUGACCAGCCACACUGGAACUGAGACACGGUCCAGACUCCUACGGGAGGCAGCAGUGGGGAAUAUUGCACAAUGGGCGCAAGCCUGAUGCAGCCAUGCCGCGUGUAUGAAGAAGGCCUUCGGGUUGUAAAGUACUUUCAGCGGGGAGGAAGGGAGUAAAGUUAAUACCUUUGCUCAUUGACGUUACCCGCAGAAGAAGCACCGGCUAACUCCGUGCCAGCAGCCGCGGUAAUACGGAGGGUGCAAGCGUUAAUCGGAAUUACUGGGCGUAAAGCGCACGCAGGCGGUUUGUUAAGUCAGAUGUGAAAUCCCCGGGCUCAACCUGGGAACUGCAUCUGAUACUGGCAAGCUUGAGUCUCGUAGAGGGGGGUAGAAUUCCAGGUGUAGCGGUGAAAUGCGUAGAGAUCUGGAGGAAUACCGGUGGCGAAGGCG
RNAcentral lists this ribosomal RNA (706 nucleotides) under uncultured Pseudomonadota bacterium. RNAcentral's name for it is "bacterial SSU rRNA". It matches the Rfam family "Bacterial small subunit ribosomal RNA", at positions 28 to 723 of the family's 1533-position model. Lineage: Bacteria; Pseudomonadati; Pseudomonadota. The record is from RNAcentral.